GAUGAACGCUGGCGGCGUGCUUAACACAUGCAAGUCGAACGAAGCGCUUUACUUGAUCCCUUCGGGGUGAUUGUUUUGCGACUGAGUGGCGGACGGGUGAGUAACGCGUGGGUAACCUGCCUCAUACAGGGGGAUAACAGCUGGAAACGGCUGCUAAUACCGCAUAAGCGCACAGUACCGCAUGGUACGGUGUGAAAAACUCCGGUGGUAUGGGAUGGACCCGCGUCUGAUUAGCCAGUUGGCGGGGUAACGGCCCACCAAAGCGACGAUCAGUAGCCGACCUGAGAGGGUGACCGGCCACAUUGGGACUGAGACACGGCCCAAACUCCUACGGGAGGCAGCAGUGGGGGAAUAUUGCACAAUGGGGGAAACCCUGAUGCAGCGACGCCGCGUGAGCGAAGAAGUAUUUCGGUAUGUAAAGCUCUAUCAGCAGGGAAGAAAAAAAAUGACGGUACCUGACUAAGAAGCCCCGGCUAACUACGUG
RNAcentral lists this ribosomal RNA (484 nucleotides) under uncultured bacterium. Its description in RNAcentral is "bacterial SSU rRNA". It matches the Rfam family "Bacterial small subunit ribosomal RNA", at positions 28 to 507 of the family's 1533-position model. The record is from RNAcentral.